AUUCUACCUGACACUAAAGAGGCCCGAGUCAGUGCCAGAUCCUUAAACUGCAAAGUGAGUGCAGGUUGAAAGGGAUGUUUCUGCUCUUGUCAUUAUCACUCACUUGCAAGGGUACACAAGGUACCCUCGUCCAUCUAUACAUACAACUAUAAGCAAAUCAUACAGCUAUAAGCAAAGGGAGGCUAAAAUGGAUACCCUCUGAGCUGCAUUCUAUCGCUAUGUCUAUGGCUUCAGAUGGUUGGUCAUAUUUAUCCACUUUUGGGUUCCUUGGCUUCAGGCAUGGUUGACUCUUGGUCACGGGCUGUUCCGUCUGUUCCUCCAACAGUUAAUUCUCAUUCUCCUUCACCCACCUGCACGGCAAUAGCUUUGCCCCUAACUAUGGAUCAGAAGAGGAUCAUUCAAGCCUGAGAAACCUCCUUGGUCCGAGGGCUGUUGAAAGAUAUUCACAGCCAAGGAUCCCGGACCUAAACAAAUCAGAGUCUCCAUGGCUAUAAUUUGGAGGCUGAGAACUGUCACUUUCACAUUUCUUUGAGCCAGUUGUCCAAGGAAACUCAAAGGGCACUUCUCGGAAAAACGGUAUGACUCCCUUAUUUCUUUAUAGAAAGGUCUCAAGAGCCAAAUGUGUGAACUGAGCCCUUGGUCUGACUAGGAUCUCCACCAGGAGUACCCAUGGAAGGGCACCAAGUGGUGGUCUGCGUACUCAUAGGACUUGCAUAUAAACAGAUACAGAGGCAAUAUUCAUAUGAAAGCGCCAAUGUAGAGAAUCUCCUUCCAUAAUCACGUCUUCACAGGUUUAUCGUCUUCGAUUCUCAGAUCCAUAGUUCAGCCUGUUCCCAACAAGAGGAGCAAAAUGUCUCUUGACCCUCCAUCACACCAUGGAACCAACUCGCUGAGUUACUAAGUGAUGAUUCCAGUCUAACUUCAUGCUCACUGACUGGCUCCACCCACCCUUACCUGAUCCAUUCGGGCUCUGCUAUCCACAUAAUGCUUUGCUAGAACUCGAGAGCUCUGCCGAGAUAUUUUAUGCCACUUCACGUUGUGUGGCCGAGUCCUUUUGCCCCUUCCCCACAGCGUGACUUCAUAGCUGAGUUGACACCUCUCUAGAGAAGGAGUUUUGGAGGAAUUUCCUUGACAACUUAGGCCGCAAAGUUAAAUACCAACCACAAUUCUCGGACCCUGGCAACUGCUACAAUGGGGUCCUGUGGGAUUUCAUAUGUAGAAUCCAGAAUCUCAAUGGAUCGGUCAAUGCUCCCAGAAGACAAGUUUCACAAUGGACAGAUUUUCUCAGCAACACCAAGACUCCAAGGAUGCAGACAAGGGAAAUUGCCCAAUCCAGAGAGGGAGGUGUACAGAAGAGAGUUGACACAGCAGGCCUGAGACAGCUCUCCUGAGAAGGGCCAGCUCGCGAGGCCGACCACCGGCUGCCGUUUGGGAACUUGGAGUUUGGGAGAAUGCCUCCCAUUCCCUGAUUGGGCACAGUGAGCCAUUCUUAACUGUUUGUGCAAACACUGCGGUGUAUCCUGAACACAUGUUUUUCUUUGGGAAGUCUGGAAUUUGGGUAUGUGCUAAGCAGAAGGUAGCUAUGUGAGCAGACCCCAAUAAAAAUCCUAGGCACUGAGUCUCUAAAGAGCUUCCCUGGUGGAACUCAUCUCACCCUUGUUGUCACAACUUAUUGACAGGGGAAUUAGGCCCAUCCUGCCUGACUCCACUGCGAGAGGACGUUCGGAAGCUUGUACCUCGUUUCCUCCAGACUUUGACCUAUGCGCCUUUUCUCUUUGCCGAUUAUGCUCUGUAUCCUUUUGUUGUUGUAAAUAGCCACGAGUACAACUAUAU
Molecule: long non-coding RNA, 1833 nt
Organism: Equus caballus (horse)
Lineage: Eukaryota; Metazoa; Chordata; Mammalia; Perissodactyla; Equidae
Source: RefSeq, a predicted model, not a curated record